Molecule: ribosomal RNA, 213 nt
Filed under: Escherichia coli
Lineage: Bacteria; Pseudomonadati; Pseudomonadota; Gammaproteobacteria; Enterobacterales; Enterobacteriaceae
Description: partial 23S ribosomal RNA
Rfam family: Bacterial large subunit ribosomal RNA
Source: RNAcentral
GCACUGCCCGGUAGCUAAAUGCGGAAGAGAUAAGUGCUGAAAGCAUCUAAGCACGAAACUUGCCCCGAGAUGAGUUCUCCCUGACUCCUUGAGAGUCCUGAAGGAACGUUGAAGACGACGACGUUGAUAGGCCGGGUGUGUAAGCGCAGCGAUGCGUUGAGCUAACCGGUACUAAUGAACCGUGAGGCUUAACCUUACAACGCCGAAGCUGUU